Molecule: ribosomal RNA, 482 nt
Filed under: uncultured organism
Description: bacterial SSU rRNA
Rfam family: Bacterial small subunit ribosomal RNA
Source: RNAcentral
GAUGAACGCUAGCGGCAGGCCUAAUACAUGCAAGUCGAACGAGAUUGGAGAGCUUGCUCUCCAUGAAAGUGGCGCACGGGUGCGUAACGCGUAUGCAAUCUACCUUACUCAGGGGGAUAGCCCGGAGAAAUCCGGAUUAACACCGCAUAACAUAAAGCUAUGGCAUCAUAGUUUUAUCAAAUAUUCAUAGGAGUAAGAUGAGCAUGCGUGACAUUAGCUAGUUGGUAAGGUAACGGCUUACCAAGGCGACGAUGUCUAGGGGAUCUGAGAGGAUGACCCCCCACACUGGUACUGAGACACGGACCAGACUCCUACGGGAGGCAGCAGUAAGGAAUAUUGGUCAAUGGAGGCAACUCUGAACCAGCCAUGCCGCGUGCAGGAAGACGGCCCUACGGGUUGUAAACUGCUUUUGUACCGGAAUAAACCCUCUUUCGUGAAAGAGGUUGAAUGUACGGUAAGAAUAAGGAUCGGCUAACUCCGUG